Non-coding RNA from Oryza sativa Japonica Group (Japanese rice), 917 nucleotides. The record is from RefSeq and is a predicted model, not a curated record. NCBI's taxonomy places the organism in Eukaryota, Viridiplantae, Streptophyta, Magnoliopsida, Poales, Poaceae.
UGGCGAAGGUACCUACGUUGGCGGCAGAGCCGGCCGCGCGUCUGCCGCCGAUGCCCUUCCCUCAUGGCGGCGUCGGACCGGCCGCCGGCGCAGGACUGCCAUACGUCUUCCCCCGUCGCCGCGUUGCCUCUCCGUCCUCUCCUCCGCAGCUUCCCAACUGUUCCCCUCUCAACUCUCGACCUCUCCUCUCUACGCGGAACACCAUGACCGUCGCCGCCGAGGUCGACGCAUCCCCUGACGGAGAGGAGAGGAGGAGGCAAGCUUGCAAUCGCACAACCAUCUAUCGAUUUCUCCCUUCCUUCUCUUUCUUCUUUCUUUCUUUCUUUCGUUUCCCCCUCUCACAUGUCAGGUUAUUUUUUCUCCUCAUCCUCUCCGGAUGAUUUCACUUUUGCUCGAAAUCUCUCAUGUUGUUGUGUUGAAGGCGGCGAAGGGGGAAACUUUGGUGGUGGUGGUGGCCGGAGAGGAGGAUGGCGGCAGCGGCAGUGACGGCGGCGGGUACGACAAGGCCGGGAUGGACUCCGGCAAGUACGUGCAGUACACGCCGGAUCAGGUGGAGGCGCUGGAGCGGGUGUACGCCGAGUGCCCCAAGCCCAGCUUCUGUCGCCGCCAGCAGUCGCCAACAUCGAGCCCAAGCAGAAGAUCAAGGUCUGGUUCCCAAAACAGAAGGUGAGCAAAAGCAUGCAGGGAUAUACUAUCAAACUGGUUUGCCUUCUGUGUGUCUGGCUGUGAAAUGUUCUGGACAAAUUGGUUGACAAUGGAGCAAUAGCAAUAGUAGUGUUCAAUUGUUUGCCUUGGUUGUGCAUACUCUGCUUCAACUAUAUUUAGGAAUUGCAAGUCUAUGUAUUUAUUUGUUUUGCUUCCUUUCUUGCAUAAUGGAACAACCUUUAUAUAAUCAAGGAAGUAUACUGUACUUAUCA